GGAAAAGCCGUGAAGGGAAUCAGUAGUUCGCUGUCUUUGCUUUCAGAGAGUCGGUGGAUGGUGCAAACCGAUACAUGCAGUUGAACGAAUUACCUCCCGGAGCUUUUGCCGUGAAAAGGAGAGUAGCGGCAAACGGUCUAAACCGUUAGCAAUCAAUGAGUGGAGAAGCAAUUCUCAAUUUGGGUGGUACCGCGCGAACAGCGUCCCUGCU
RNAcentral lists this non-coding RNA (211 nucleotides) under Bacillus smithii. RNAcentral describes it as "T-box sequence". It matches the Rfam family "T-box leader". From Rfam's summary of the family: Uncharged tRNA acts as the effector for transcription antitermination of genes in the T-box leader family. Lineage: Bacteria; Bacillati; Bacillota; Bacilli; Caryophanales; Bacillaceae. The record is from RNAcentral.